UAAGCCAGGAAUUUCUAAGUACAAACUUUAUUAAAGUGAAACCGCGAAAGGCUCAUUAAAUCAGUUAUGGUUCCUUAGAUCGUACCACAAAUCAAUUAAUUGGAUAACUGUGGUAAUUCUAGAGCUAAUACAUGCAAACAGAGCUCCAACCUGAAAAGGAAGGAGUGCUUUUAUUAGAUCAAAACUAAUCGGCGGCGGCAUCGUUUCGGCGUUGUCGUUCGUCGCUCAUUUUAUGGUGAAUCUGAAUAACUUUAUGCUGAUCGCAUGGUCUUGCACCGGCGACGCAUCUUUCAAAUGUCUGCCUUAUCAACUGUCGAUGGUAGGAUCUGCGCCUACCAUGGUUGUAACGGGUAACGGGGAAUCAGGGUUCGAUUCCGGAGAGGGAGCCUGAGAAACGGCUACCACAUCCAAGGAAGGCAGCAGGCGCGCAAAUUACCCACUCCCGGCACGGGGAGGUAGUGACGAUAAAUAACGAUACGGGACUCAUCCGAGGCCCCGUAAUCGGAAUGAGUACAAUUUAAAUCCUUUAACGAGGAUCAAUUGGAGGGCAAGUCUGGUGCCAGCAGCCGCGGUAAUUCCAGCUCCAAUAGCGUAUAUUAAAGUUGUUGCGGUUAAAAAGCUCGUAGUUGAAUUUGUGUCCCGCACUGUCGGUUCACCGCCCGCGGUGUUAACUGGCAUGUUUGCGGGACGUCCUGCCGGUGGAUGUAAGUGUUUGUACUUUACAGUCUUUCACACAUCCGAUUUUAUCCUGUCGCGGUGCUCUUAAUUGAGUGUCGAGUCGGGCCGGCACGUUUACUUUGAACAAAUUAGAGUGCUCAAAGCAGGCUAUUAUAUGCCUGAAUAAUUAGUGCAUGGAAUAAUGGAACAGGACCUUGGUUCUAUUUUGUUGGUUUUUCGGAACCCAAGGUAAUGAUUAAUAGGGACAGGUGGGGGCAUUCGUAUUGCGACGUUAGAGGUGAAAUUCUUGGAUCGUCGCAAGACGGACUUAAGCGAAAGCAUUUGCCAAAAAUGUUUUCAUUAGUCAAGAACGAAAGUCAGAGGUUCGAAGGCGAUCAGAUACCGCCCUAGUUCUGACCAUAAACGAUGCCAGCUAGCGAUCCGCCAACGUUCCUCCGAUGACUUGGCGGGCAGCUUUCAGGAAACUAAAGCUUUUGGGUUCCGGGGGAAGUAUGGUUGCAAAGCUGAAACUUAAAGGAAUUGACGGAAGGGCACCACCAGGAGUGGAGCCUGCGGCUUAAUUUGACUCAACACGGGAAACCUCACCAGGCCCAGACACUGUUAGGAUUGACAGAUUGAGAGCUCUUUCUUGAUUCAGUGGGUGGUGGUGCAUGGCCGUUCUUAGUUGGUGGAGCGAUUUGUCUGGUUAAUUCCGAUAACGAACGAGACUCUAGCCUACUAAAUAGACGUUUACUAUUACCAGUAUCUUGAAGGCUCACUUCUCAUGUACUUUAACUACUCAUCGCCUGCAUUGAAAAAUGUACGGUUAGGUGUGUAGUGAGUCGCGAGCUUGUGGUUUUUACUACUGGCGUACUUUAUAUUCUUCUUAGAGGGACAGGCGGCUUCUAGCCGCACGAGAUUGAGCAAUAACAGGUCUGUGAUGCCCUUAGAUGUUCUGGGCCGCACGCGCGCUACACUGAAGGAAUCAGCGUGUCUUCCCUGGCGGUAACGCCCGGGUAACCCGCUGAACCUCCUUCGUGCUAGGGAUUGGGGCUUGCAAUUAUUCCCCAUAAACGAGGAAUUCCCAGUAAGCGCGAGUCAUAAGCUCGCGUUGAUUACGUCCCUGCCCUUUGUACACACCGCCCGUCGCUACUACCGAUUGAAUGAUUUAGUGAGGUCUUCAGACUGGUACGCGGUAGUGUUUCGACAUUACCGAUGUCGCUGGGAAGAUGACCAAACUUGAUUAUUUAGAGGAAUAA
RNAcentral lists this ribosomal RNA (1916 nucleotides) under Pelecium crenatostriatum. RNAcentral's name for it is "SSU rRNA". It matches the Rfam family "Eukaryotic small subunit ribosomal RNA". Lineage: Eukaryota; Metazoa; Arthropoda; Insecta; Coleoptera; Carabidae. The record is from RNAcentral.